Molecule: long non-coding RNA, 213 nt
Filed under: Mytilus galloprovincialis (Mediterranean mussel)
Lineage: Eukaryota; Metazoa; Mollusca; Bivalvia; Mytilida; Mytilidae
Source: RNAcentral
UUAAAUUCAAUUUGAUAUUUCUGGGAAAACAUUAUCUGAGGGUUAUAUACUUAAUAAAUAUGAUAAAGCUUGUAAGCAAAUGUCAAACCGGAGUUAUUUAUCAAAACAUGAUAUUGGUAUUGGUUUUGAAUUCCUAAGAAAAGUGUUUUAACUUAAACGCAAUUUUCUCAGUCAAAUUUGAUGUCGCUCUUAUACGCUUUAAAGAUUUUUAGG